This 464-nucleotide ribosomal RNA is filed under the name Vreelandella stevensii. RNAcentral describes it as "partial 16S ribosomal RNA". It matches the Rfam family "Bacterial small subunit ribosomal RNA", at positions 339 to 795 of the family's 1533-position model. Lineage: Bacteria; Pseudomonadati; Pseudomonadota; Gammaproteobacteria; Oceanospirillales; Halomonadaceae. The record is from RNAcentral.
CUACGGGUAACUGCAGUGGGGAAUAUUGGACAAUGGGCGAAAGCCUGAUCCAGCCAUGCCGCGUGUGUGAAGAAGGCCUUCGGGUUGUAAAGCACUUUCAGUGGGGAAGAAAGCCUUGGGGCUAAUACCCUCGAGGAAGGACAUCACCCACAGAAGAAGCACCGGCUAACUCCGUGCCAGCAGCCGCGGUAAUACGGAGGGUGCGAGCGUUAAUCGGAAUUACUGGGCGUAAAGCACGCGUAGGCGGUCUGAUAAGCCGGUUGUGAAAGCCCCGGGCUCAACCUGGGAACGGCAUCCGGAACUGUCAGGCUAGAGUGCAGGAGAGGAAGGUAGAAUUCCCGGUGUAGCGGUGAAAUGCGUAGAGAUCGGGAGGAAUACCAGUGGCGAAGGCGGCCUUCUGGACUGACACUGACGCUGAGGUGCGAAAGCGUGGGUAGCAAACAGGAUUAGAUACCCGAGUAGUC